RNAcentral lists this ribosomal RNA (452 nucleotides) under Staphylococcus aureus. Its description in RNAcentral is "partial 23S ribosomal RNA". It matches the Rfam family "Bacterial large subunit ribosomal RNA", at positions 2282 to 2733 of the family's 2925-position model. The record is from RNAcentral. Lineage: Bacteria; Bacillati; Bacillota; Bacilli; Caryophanales; Staphylococcaceae.
GUCGCCUCCUAAAAGGUAACGGAGGCGCUCAAAGGUUCCCUCAGAAUGGUUGGAAAUCAUUCAUAGAGUGUAAAGGCAUAAGGGAGCUUGACUGCGAGACCUACAAGUCGAGCAGGGUCGAAAGACGGACUUAGUGAUCCGGUGGUUCCGCAUGGAAGGGCCAUCGCUCAACGGAUAAAAGCUACCCCGGGGAUAACAGGCUUAUCUCCCCCAAGAGUUCACAUCGACGGGGAGGUUUGGCACCUCGAUGUCGGCUCAUCGCAUCCUGGGGCUGUAGUCGGUCCCAAGGGUUGGGCUGUUCGCCCAUUAAAGCGGUACGCGAGCUGGGUUCAGAACGUCGUGAGACAGUUCGGUCCCUAUCCGUCGUGGGCGUAGGAAAUUUGAGAGGAGCUGUCCUUAGUACGAGAGGACCGGGAUGGACAUACCUCUGGUGUACCAGUUGUCGUGCCAAC